Molecule: ribosomal RNA, 232 nt
Filed under: uncultured eukaryote
Lineage: Eukaryota
Description: partial 18S ribosomal RNA
Rfam family: Eukaryotic small subunit ribosomal RNA
Source: RNAcentral
GGAAACCUCACCAGGUCCAGACAUAGUAAGGAUUGACAGAUUGACAGCUCUUUCUUGAUUCUAUGGGUGGUGGUGCAUGGCCGUUCUUAGUUGGUGGAGUGAUCUGUCUGGUUAAUUCCGUUAACGAACGAGACCUUAGCCUGCUAAAUAAGCAGCUGAAAGCUUCGGUUUUCAGUUAGCUUUCUUAGAGGGACUUUGUGUGUUCUCAACACAAGGAAGUUUGAGGCAAUAA